GGGCCAGACUCCUACGGGAGGCAGCAGUGGGGAAUAUUGGACAAUGGGGGGAACCCUGAUCCAGCGACGCCGCGUGAGUGAAGAAGUAUUUCGGUAUGUAAAGCUCUAUCAGCAGGGAAGAAAGAAGUGACGGUACCUGACUAAGAAGCCCCGGCUAACUACGUGCCAGCAGCCGCGGUAAUACGUAGGGGGCAAGCGUUAUCCGGAUUUACUGGGUGUAAAGGGAGCGUAGACGGCGAUGCAAGUCUGAAGUGAAAGGCGGGGGCCCAACCCCCGGACUGCUUUGGAAACUGUAUAGCUGGAGUGCAGGAGAGGUAAGUGGAAUUCCUAGUGUAGCGGUGAAAUGCGUAGAUAUUAGGAGGAACACCAGUGGCGAAGGCGGCUUACUGGACUGUAACUGACGUUGAGGCUCGAAAGCGCGGGGAGCAAACAGGAUUAGAUACCCGUGUA
Molecule: ribosomal RNA, 450 nt
Filed under: uncultured bacterium
Lineage: Bacteria
Description: partial 16S ribosomal RNA
Rfam family: Bacterial small subunit ribosomal RNA
Source: RNAcentral